AGCAGCCGCGGUAAUUCCAGCUCCAAUAGCGUAUAUUAAAGUUGUUGCAGUUAAAAGCUCGUAGUUGAAUUUCGGGAUUGACACAUCGGUCGUGCCUUAAGGGGUAUGAACUGGUGUAGUCAAUUUCUCACCUUCUGGAGAACCGCGAUGCCCUUAAUUGGGUGUCGCGGGGAACCAGGACCUUUACUUUGAAAAAUUUAGAGUGUUUAAAGCAGGCAUUUUGCUUGAAUACAUUAGCAUGGAAUAAUAAAAUAGGACGGCAUGAUUCUAUUUUGUUGGUUUCUAGGAUCACCGUAAUGAUUAAUAGGGAUAGUUGGGGGCAUUAGUAUUCAAUUGUCAGAGGUGAAAUUCUUGGAUUUAUUGAAGACUAACUACUGCGAAAGCAUUUGCCAAGGAUGUUUUCAUUAAUCAAGAACGAAAGUUAGGGGAUCGAAGACGAUCAGAUACCGUCGUAGUCUUAACCAUAAACUAUGCCGACUAGGAAUCAGACGAUGUUAAUUUUUUAAUGACUCGUUUGGCA
Molecule: unclassified non-coding RNA, 520 nt
Filed under: uncultured Entrophospora
Lineage: Eukaryota; Fungi; Glomeromycota; Glomeromycetes; Entrophosporales; Entrophosporaceae
Description: SSU rRNA
Rfam family: Eukaryotic small subunit ribosomal RNA
Source: RNAcentral